UCUUAGUGACUUCCUGUGACUCCCAGAAUGCUUUUCAAAAACUCCCAGAAAAGGUCUGUGAUGAUGGAUGUCUUCCUGUAUGAGCCCUGCUUGUGUCUUUUCCGGCCAGCAGCAAUCAGUGGAUGAUUAACAACUAAGACAAUCAGUUUGCUCCCGGGUGCCUGGUGGACUGUACCACACUAUGAAUCUCCCCCUACCCUCACCCUUGCAGUGGGCCGCUCCCCCUUCUUCACCGCUCGCUUUGGUGGAAGCGAAGCCCAAACAGAACAUCAUGGCGAUUGAUGGUGGCGAACGUAACUGUGGAGUACAUGAGCUGAUCUGCGUCAGAAAAGUCUCUCCAGAGGUGCUGGGGUUUCUGACAGCCAUUGGACUCUUCAUCAUCCUCGUGACCCUCCUGUUCUGGUACCUGAACAACAAGUUGGCUCUAGAGAACCCAGGGAGCCUUCAGUGCCUAGAUGACUUCAGGAAAAAAGCCGAGUUGCAAGACAAGACCUACUCUGACGGCGACUUGCAGGGCUCGUCAUCGGACAGCGAGGAUGAACUGAUGGGUCAGUAUCAGGAAGCGGUCAGCCGCUCCCAAGGCCUCCGGGGAGGAGCCAAGGCAGCCGCUAAUACCAAACACGCAGGAGGUUUCAGCUGGGAGAGCCGGCAGAAGUACAGCCCUCUGACUGCCGAGUAUAACGGCUACAGCAGUGACGCCUCGGCUGACGACGCCAACUGCAUCCAGAGGAUGAGGCGAACGCCACCGCUGGAUGAGCUUCAGCCACCUCCUUAUCAGGAUGAGAACGGCUCUCCAAGGAUGUCCUGUACGCUGUCUGACCUGGGAGACGCCAAGUGCGAUCUGUCCUAUACCAGCGGCAGUCCCCACCUGUCCUUUGGCAAAUGCCCCAGUGAGUGCAGCGACGGCCCUGAGACUGAGAGUUACCUCAACAAGGGCUACGAGGAGGAUGUACCGAGCGACAGUACAGCUGUCCUCAGCCCAGAGGACAUGUCAGCCCGUGGAUCCGCAGCUCAGCUCCCUAAAGGUUAUGAACCAGAUCCAGUUGCAAAAUAUGGCACUCUGGACGUGGUGUUUGACUACGACUCAGACGAUCAGCAACUGGCAGUCACCAUCACGGCAGUAUCGGAUCUUCCCGCCCUAAAACGCACAGGCAACAUCUCCUGGCAGGUCCACCUGGUGCUGCUGCCCACCAAGAAGCAGAGAGCCAAGACAGGAAUCCAGAGAGGUCCGUGCCCAAUCUUCACCGAGACCUUCCGCUUCAGCCACGUGGAGUCAGAGAUGAUCAGCAAUUACGCCAUCCGAUUGCGCCUUUAUAGUAUGCGGCGGAUGAAAAAGGAGAAGGUGCUCGGGGAAAAGGUGUUCUAUCUCACCAAGCUCAACCUUCAGGGCAAAAUGUCUGUGCCGGUCAUAUUAGAUCCAUGCUGUGCUCUUCCGGGUGGUGAAUCCCAAGUCAGCCUCUCAGAUAUGACAUGCAGUGAAAGCGCCUCAUCAUUCCAGUCAGUCAGUCAGACUUCCACACCAGAGAUCCUCGUGGGUCUGGUGUACAACGCCACGACAGGACGUCUCUCAGUGGAGAUCAUCAAAGGCAUCCAUUUUAAAAACCUGUCUGCCAACAAGCCACCCAAUGGGCUGUUCUGUUGUCUAAAACACUUGAUAGGUGGACAGGUUUAUAUUAUCAGAGAUACAUAUGUUAAGCUGACCUUACUGAACUCCAUGGGCCACGAGAUGUCCAAGUGUAAGACAUCCAUCUGUCGAGGUCAACCCAACCCAACCUACAAAGAGACGUUUGUCUUCCAGGUAGCACUCUUCCAGCUAUCGGACGUCACGCUUAUCCUGUCCGUCUACAACAAGCGCAGCAUGAAGCGUAAGGAGAUGAUUGGCUGGAUUUCGCUCGGCCUCAACAGCUCUGGAGAGGAGGAGCUCACCCACUGGACUCAGAUGAAAGAGUCUAAAGGACAGCAGGUUUGCCGCUGGCACAGUUUGUUGGAGUCCUAACAGCAAGAGAACAGUAAGUGAAGAGAGUGCGUGAGGAUAACUGCACAGAGCAGUUGUCAUCCCAGACGGGCGAGAAAUGGAGUUCAGCUGGGAUAGAGGAAUGUGACAGACGUCCAGGGAACCAGGGUCAGUGGGGGUGAAGGAAAAGACAGAACAACAUGUGUCUGCACUCAGAGUUGUUUCAGCUUGGCACAGCAUAUUAAGCAUUUUUAUUGCACUUGUUUGUAAAACCACUGUUGAUUAGUCGUAUGGCUAGUAAUGGGAUGUAAUUUAUUUUCAUGGAUUGCCUUGUAAUGACCUUUACGUUUCUGUAAAUGGCACUCUGUUUUUGUCUGUUGAACUGGUUGAGCUGGGACCUGUUCCAAGAAACAGGUUCUGGGCAACGUUGUUGAGUAAAUUAUUGUCUGAUAAUUUUGCGUUUCCACACCUCCAGCUCAAACAACUGACAUGAGGAUUAUUGUAAAUCUUAUCCGAAAGGUUUACAACAUGAAACAUGGCCCCUCUCUUUGUUUUUGUGCCUGCAUACAACAAGAUUUUGUCAUGUAUUUAAGGGUUGACCAAAAAUAGUUCACAAUUUAGAAGCCAGCAGAACAUGGAUGUGCAUGGCCACUUUUCAAAUCAGUAGUAGGUAGUUAUUUUCAAAUUUGUCAGUUUCUUAUAGGGACAAUCUUACUACAGUGUGGUGAACACAAAAUAUUCUACUAAAGUUAGAACAGUUUUGUUUAUUUUACAUGAGAGAUUUUUAUAUUUGUGUUCUUGCUCCUUGUUUUUCCUCACUGGUUUGAAGUGGGCAUGGCUUAGUUGGAAAAAGGUGAUGAUGUCAUGUGUUACCAUGCACCAGUCAGAGUUAAGCAGGCAACAUUUCAAAAUCAUUUGUGGGAGUGCUUAUGUUACCAGUAACCACACCCACAGUUUUUGAGUGGCUAAAUAUUAUAUUAACUUAAUAAUAUAUUAAUACUAUAUUAUUUAUUUUUCCAAAAGUUAACUUGCUAUAUUGAAUAUUCAAUGUUAUAGAGAAGUGCUUUAAAAACCAGGUUAUCGGUGUUUUAAGCCAUUUUUAUGGUACGAGAAACCACAUUUUGCCUUUUUUACCCCGGCUAGCUAACUAAUUGUAGCAACUUUCUUGUUACAUGAGUAAACAGGGCAGCACCAGUGCCAUGCUCUGCCUGGGAGAAAACACCACCACCAGUGUACUUUUCUACUUAGCUCUGAAUUUCUCCAGAUGUCUGUUGUUUAAGCCAGAGGUGUGGCUACAUGAAGAAGCUACCAUCACUGCUUAUGUUUGCUACAGUAGCUACAAACAUAAACCGCACCACUUCUUCCAUGUAGGGAAGACGUUAAAGAAACAAGUUUCAUGAAUUUAAUAUGGAUACAAUUUAGGUUAAAUCGCCAUGUUGUUGAUGAAUGUUGCUGAGUAUUACUUUGCCAAAGCUUCAUUUGCCACAUCCCAAUGUGUCUACUGCAAAUGUAUUACAAUUACUUGUUGCGUUCAAAUGUGCAGGACUCUGGGAAUGGAGGCAUGUUGAAAGAUAUUUUGAAGGCCAAAGAAGUGGUGGCCAUUUUGGAACUUAUAAAGAAUUGAUCUACACUUUUUAUGAAUCUCAGUCGACACUGCCGAGGCUAAACCCCUCAACAUUGUUUGAGCCUCAACUUAAGUAUAUAUAAAACAUCAACUAAAUAAUUUUAGACAGGCAAAUGUCAGGCAAAUAAAAUUCUUGACAUAUAACCUGACAGUGGAAGUGUCAUGGUUGAUGUUGAGAUGAAGUUCAGUAGUGAUCUCUGAGAAGAAUUAAGCAUUUCACAUUGUUAGAUAUUGUUUUGAAAACACCAGUUUGCGGAAGCAAUGACAGACUGAGAUAGGUUAUAUAUAGAAAUAUGUAGUAGUUACUGUGGUGGUUGUGUGAUCUUGAGUUUCCAUGCACUAUUAAAAAGUCACACAGAAUGUCAAAAGCAUAUUCAAAGACAUUUAAAGACACUUUUUUAUGGGUACCAAAUAACUUGGUCACAUAUCAUAGCAGUGAAGCUAACAAGUGAAAAGAAAAUAUACCUGUUAAUCUCUUUUACCCGCUCUGGUGCUAAUUAGUGCUGUGGCUGCACGCACGGAAUCCCUUGCCUUAUGGUUUAGUCAGUUCAUAAAUUACUGUAAGUGGACCCAGUACAAGAACAGACACAGAUACACCCUCAGAGCACACAAACCAUAAUUACAGGAAGCACACGCACAGCACCAUUCAACCUCACUAAAGGGAAUUCAAACUGUUUUCAUAGGAGCCUCAGUGUGCAUUGACAAACUUGCAGAAUGUCUACAUGCGAAUGGGUUGUAUGUUUAGCUGUGGACACUUUCUCACUUCAUUUCAUUUACAGACAACAGAAAAUACAUAUACUCUUUACUGUGCCUGUGGUUGUGGUGAAAGCUAGCUUUGUGCAGUGUUUACCAAGUGGAUGUGUUGUGUGUGUGUGUGUGUGUGUGUGGUUGUGUGUGUUGACUGGAAAGGUACAGUGGGGAAGCUGUGAUAGUUGUUGUAUUUUCUCGUUGGUUGUGACAAUUUCUGAAUUUAUUUACCUGUAUUUAGAAUGCAGUAACACACUUCUUGAAUGUCUGCCAUAUACUUUAUAUACAGUAAAUGUGUUGUUAUCUAUUUUUGUAUCAAUAAUGGGGAGGAAAUUGUGUUCAGACAGUUAAAUAGUGAAUCACAUAUUAACCCACCCUGUGAGCAAUACUAUUCUGGAUUGCUAUUGUUUAUUCUGUUCCUUUAUUUAAUGUUUUAGAGGCGUUAUGUCUUAGUAGCUCUGGUCCUCUUUACAUCCCCUUCUCUAAAACCAGAAAGGGAUGUGACAGAAACCAGCAGAGCUCAUCUUAAAAUCAAUCUGUCAAGACUUUUGAUGCUUUUUAACAGUGUGAAACAGAAGCACAGCCUUUACAGCACAACAGUCAAACACACCGUGUAAAAGCUUGGCAGUAGCUCACUUGUACAUGUAGAGAUACCUCAUAUCAUUGGAAUCCAAAUUUCGCCCAAAGUUAAAAAAAAAAAAAUCCACUCAAUGCAAUAUUUGUUUUAUGAUCAGGCUGGAUCAUUUGAUUUGACUUUAGUAAAUUCAUUCUUAUGUCUUGCAUUUAACUGCCAGCAGAAAAAGGGGAGUGAUCUUGUUAAAUCAACAGAAGGUGUGCAGGAAUAUAAAUAGUGUGAUCUUUCACACUGUUAGUGGGUGUCUGAUGCUCCAUAGUCAAGCCUAUUAUCAGUUAAGAAGUUGAUUUCUGUGCAUCCUGGAAUGAUGCACAAUGGUGACAAAAAGGUUCUUCAACAACUCGUCACAGAAAAAUUGUUAACGUUUUUUUAACGUUAAGAUCGGGUCUUGCUACCAAGCUAUGGAAGCAAAAAUAGGCCAAAAGGAUUUUAAUCUUGCAAGCAACUGAAUAUCUAGAUGUGGGAUUUAAAUUAUAAUAAAUCCCCCUCUUAAAGAAUAAUUAGAAUGCACACUUGAUUUGAAAUGUUUAAGGGUAUGCAAAUUCAGAUGGAAAAUUGUGCCCAAAAUUUAAGAAAAACUACAUUCAUGUCAUUUUCAGAUCUAAAAUUUCAAGUUGAGUAAAAAAACAAAAACAAAAAAAAACAUCAGAGUGCUAAAACUGGAUAGGGGAAAUUCAGAAACAAGAUACAAAAAUAAAACCGGAUAAGACCUCUGUCUUUGAAUUUGUGAAACAGUUUUGAAAUUCAAACUACAUACAUUGAGAUAUAUGGUUUUUAAAGUUAUUAAUGCUAUUAAUAAAGUAGUAUUUAAAAUUCUACGUUAAGUAUUCAGUAGUAGUUAUGUUUCACAGUAAGGUACUCAGCUGCAUUUAAAAUUCAUUUUAUGGCCAUCCUUUGCUCCUGUACAAACCAACACAAAGGCCGGGUCGAACAAUUUUCUAUAGCUCUUUGUUCUGCUAAUCUUUCACAAGAUGUGUUCCACUAAUAAGGUUUUUAAAACAAUACGGCUAUGCUUUGCAGUAUAGUUUCUUGUGCUUUGAUUUCCUUGACACAUUUCCAAAAAUCCCCUGUUUAAAUGCUGGUUUUAAUUUGUGUUUUUUUUUCUUUUAGUUUGGAAACUACCUAUGCCACAGAUGGCAUUGGUGCCUUACUGUUUUUCACUCAGCAACCUUGUGUCACAGUGUCUUAAUGUACUUGUACAUAUACUUUUCUUCUGUACUUCAGGCUGAGUUUGAUUUGUAAAAUGUCUUACAAAUUGAUUUAUGAUAGACAGAGUUUAUAUGUGAUAUUGUUUAAAAAAAGAAAAGACA
RNA transcript from Sander lucioperca (pikeperch), 6269 nucleotides. It is a transcript of the gene named synaptotagmin XIVa, with no coding region annotated. The record is from RefSeq and is a predicted model, not a curated record. The transcript is spliced from 11 exons. Lineage: Eukaryota; Metazoa; Chordata; Actinopteri; Perciformes; Percidae.